This is a non-coding RNA of Anas platyrhynchos (mallard), 602 nucleotides long. The record is from RefSeq and is a predicted model, not a curated record. NCBI's taxonomy places the organism in Eukaryota, Metazoa, Chordata, Aves, Anseriformes, Anatidae.
GGAGGCUGCUGGGGAGACCACCUGCACCCCCAGCUGGUGCUGCCCAGGUGUUCGUUGGUAUGGGGACUGCCGGAGUUACACGGGAUCUCAUCCAGAUAAAAACAUCCUUGAUCCCAGGGACACCGAGCCACGGAGCCCAGUGUGACUGCGGUGCACAGGAUAAGGCCAGCCACGUAGUCCUGGAGGCCAGCGAUCCAUCACAUGCUGAUAGAGAACACGCAACAAGGAAGGUGUUAACGUGACAAGGAAGGCGUUAACGUGCUGUGGUGGUGGUGGGACCCCGCUGCAGGGACACCUGCUCUGCUGUGUGGGCAGCGGGCUGCUCCUCUGCGCUGGGCUAAAGGCGCUGGCCUCGCGACCUGCGUCAGCUGCUUGCGUGGCCGCUGAGCAGGUCUGCCACUCCCAAGGGUGCUGGAGAUGAAGGACUUUGUGGGUUUUUACUUAGAGGAGGCAUUCAAGCACAGCGUAUAGCCUAUAAACUGCUUAGGAGACUCUAAGCUUUACUUACUGCUCCUUCUGGGGUAACCGGCGUCAUGUGCCUAGUCUGACUAAUGCUUUUUAAAAUGCAGUAGAUUAAAGGUGAAUGUGUUGUUUUGGAUUUA